GGGGUGUUCGCCUAACCGCCCCAGUCCCACGAAGCCAGAGGGAGAAGGCGGGGUUAUGGCCUCCAUCACCGCAUCAGGGCCUCCCAUCACAGCCCCAGACAGGCCCCUGAGAAGCUGCCACAGAAAAGGUAAAAAUGCCCAGGUCCUGGGCCAGCACAGCUAAAACCCUCCAACGGUUGAAGGUGAGCGUAAAAAGCGAAAAAGAAUAGAACAAGCUAGAAAGAGGAAGGUGCAGGAAGGAGAAGCGAGUUUCAGAGGAACUGAGCAGAGCGCUCAGAGAUACUCUUGACCAAACGCCAGGAGGCGGCAUCUCCCGGCGAGAAGCAGCGCCACUUAGCGGUCAGACUCCGCGCGGCCGCCGGGGCGGCUCAUCGUCCCGCCGUUUCUAGCCCGCGCUGCGUUUUUAAACCCCCGGCUACCGCGCUGUUCCCAGCCGCUGCUCUCCCUGCUGCACCUGCCCUGCCCGCCUUCCUCCUCUUCACACACCUCCGUCCUCUGACCCCCUGGGUGGAAGGCUGCCCCCUACCUCCCGCGUUGCUCCUGUCAGAGGCCUGCAAGGGCUCCUGGAGGGCCGAGGCUCAGGUGACCACUUCCCAGCAGUCGUGCAGCGCCCUCCGAGGCCCCUGAGUGCUGUCCUCUCCUCCUGCUCCCAGUUCUGCCCUCUUCUCAUUUCUGGUCUCGGAGUCAAGGAGUUUCCAGGCCGACUGUGCUCAGGGGGCCUCAGUCCUUGGAGUUAAGGGUCUUUUUCUAGCGACCAGGAGCUCUGGGAAGGACACAAGGGCCCUGAACCACACUUCCUAAAAACUGAAUGCCCCUCUUCUGGGCCGCAGACCCUGGUCCUCCUUUCAUGAUAAGACUCACCUCCUAGUGCCAAGGCCAUGCUGCUCGUGCCGCACGUGCGGUCUAUUUGGGUUUGUUUUUUAAACCUUGGAGAAAUCUAUCCCUGACUUGUUGAAUGUUCUUUGCGCUGACAAGAUAUACAACUGUGGUGAAAGGGAAUUCCCUGCUGGUGGAGGGGUUAGGACUCAGCACUUUCACUGCUAUUGGCCCCGGGUUCAGUCUCUGGUCUGGGAACUAAGAUUUUGGUGUGCCUAAAAAACACCAAAAAAUAAACAAAAACAACAAAAUACACCAACAGCAACAAAAAAUACCCAGCUGUGCUGAAAACUCUGAAUCCCUGGACCAGCUUCUCAGAGUUAUCUGAGUAGCUGGUUUACAGGAUCCCACAGUCUUUGUUACAACAUCACGGUGCUGUCCCAGGAUGGAUCUGUGCAGGCCAGCUUUUUUGCUGGUGGACACUUGGGUGGUCAGGCCUUCCUGCACUAUGAUCACAUGAAGGGGAGGGCAGAGCCCUGGGGAGUCUGAGCUGAAGAUCUGGAAGCUAAGAUGUGGGACAAAGAAUCCAAGUGAAACUGGGCAACUCAGAUUGGG
This is a long non-coding RNA of Bos taurus (domestic cattle), 1431 nucleotides long. NCBI's taxonomy places the organism in Eukaryota, Metazoa, Chordata, Mammalia, Artiodactyla, Bovidae. The record is from Ensembl.